This 1179-nucleotide long non-coding RNA is filed under the name Cricetulus griseus (Chinese hamster). RNAcentral describes it as "lncRNA (ENSCGRG00015037104.1)". The record is from RNAcentral. Lineage: Eukaryota; Metazoa; Chordata; Mammalia; Rodentia; Cricetidae.
CGUGAAUUUGUCCCUGUUGCCGCUAGGCGCUGGGCCGCCACCAGGGGUCAGGGCGAAAGCCAGAUAUAAGAGCGUUCAGACUGGUCCAAUUUCCAAGCGUGACUUUGGCCCCCUGAGCGCCCUUUAAUUUCAGCACCGCCUACAGGCCACAACCCCAGAAACGUAGGUAACAAAGAGGGCCCUAAGAGAGACUUACAUGGAUCCGCCUAGCAAGGGGAAAAAGACAAGAAAGACCUCCUGCGUAAAUUUCAAGGUCUCACUCUGUAAUUCAAGCUGACCUUGGACUCACAGCAAUCCUCUUACCUCAGCAAGGGUAUUGCUAUCUGGUACCAGCCCAGUGGUCAAGGCCACCGAUUGCUCUUCCAGAGGAUCUGGAUUCAAUCUUCUCAGCACCCACAUGGUGAUGGUGAUUCGAAACUGUCUGAAACUCCAGUUCUGGGGAUUCUGAUGCUUUUUCUGGUCUCCUUGAGCAUGAGGCACACAUACAGUAGACAUACAUAUGUAGUCAGAAGUUUCUGUCCUUCAGCCACUCCCAAAUAACCACUCGGAAACAAUGUUAUUUAUAAACGCGUGGCUGAUAGCUCAGGCUUGUAACUAACUUUUGCAUUUCAAUUAACCCAUCUGCAUAUAUUAUGGACUGGUGGAAGGGUAUGAGGAAGAAUCUGGCUCCUCCAGCUUCAGCGGAUCUAAUGCUCUCUUCUGGCUUUCUUGGGCAUCUGUAUGUGUGAGGUGCACACACACACACACACACACACACACACACACACACACACACACACACACAAAAAGUAAAUCUUAAAAAAAAGAAAAUCUAUGGGCUGGAGAGCUGGCUCAGUGGUUAAGAGCACUGGCUGCUCUUCCAGAGGUCCUGAGUUCCAUUCCCAGCAACCACAUGGUGGAUCACAGCCAUCCACAAUGAGAUUGGGUGCCUUCUUCUGGCCCGCAGGCAUACAUGCAGACAAAACCCUAUAUAUAGAAGAAAUAAAUAAAUCUUAAAAAAAAAUCUAAAAUCUGCCAAUCAAUGAUCAGAAUGAUAAUUUUUUCAGGAUGUAAAGUCAACGUUAAAAUCAGUUGUAUAUAAUUAGUACCAGACCCUGGAUUUGAGCUCUAGUCUUCAGGCUUGCAGGAAGUUCUUUUAUUAUUAUUAUUAUUAUUAUUAUUAUUAUUAUUAUUAUUAUU